Long non-coding RNA from Dalotia coriaria, 720 nucleotides. RefSeq lists it as uncharacterized. NCBI's taxonomy places the organism in Eukaryota, Metazoa, Arthropoda, Insecta, Coleoptera, Staphylinidae. The transcript has 3 exons. The record is from RefSeq and is a predicted model, not a curated record.
CGCACAUGAUUAUACCAGGCGCGCAACGCGCACAGCGCCACGCCGUUUUCGUGUGUGUACAGAGUGUGGCGAGGAUGUAAGGAACGCGCGAUGCGUCGUUUUGCUAUGGCGAUGGCCAUUGGGUAGCGGGUAUGCGCGGCGCGGCAUCCAAGGUUUUCGCCGAUGCCGGAAGCCGGCCGUCAUGCAACAGUGCUAUUUUACGUCCCCGACCAUAGUUUAAUACACUCGCUCUUAAUUCGAACCCGCAUCCUACGUUUAUAUGUGGAUAAUGAUAUAAAACCUUAAAAUAUUUGCAGAAUAUCAACAUACUCGUAUGAGAAGUUCAUAGAACUUAGAAACAUCUGACCUGCUGGUAAGGGACAAUUUGCUACAAGAUUGCCAAUGUUUUGGGAUUUUACUUUUGGGAACUCUAACGGUUUUUUAUUAGGAUGAUUAUAGAAUGGUAACUAAGAAGAUUAACUGGUUAGAUUAUUCGAUCUUUGCAAGAUAUAAGAAAACGGAAACUAGAUACUAAGCAGCUCUCCGGAAUUCAUUUGGCAAUAUGUUGAUCACAAUUUACUAUUGACCAAACUAAGAAAUUGUCAAGUUUUUGGUUUUUUUUUAAUAAGAAAGUAAAAAUUAAUUACAUUUUUACUAAAAACUACAGGGACGAACUCGCUACUAUAAAAUAAAAAGAAUUCUGUAUCAGAUUACCAACAAAUGAUUAAAAAUAGUUUUUUU